CAGGGACACAAAUCCAAACUAUACCAAGCUGUCAUUAGGAAGUACCACAGAUAGAGUGGCUUAAACAACAGAGAUUUAUUUUCUCACAGUUAUAGAGGCUAGCAGUCCAAAAUCAAGGCAUUGGCAGGGCUAGUUUCUCUCAAGGCUUCUCCCCAUGGCUUGCAGAUGGCCACCUUUUCACAGUGUCUUCACGCGGUGUCCCUCUGUCUGUGUAUGCUUCUGUUGUCUUUCCAUGGGUCCAAAUUUCCUCUUCUUAUAAGCACACCAGUCACAUUGGAUUAAGGCCCACCCUGAAGCCUUCAUUGUAGCUUAAUUACCUCUCAGAAGAUUUUUUCUUCAAACAUGGUUAGGUUCUAAGGUGCUGAGAGUGAGGACUUCAACAUCUAAAUUUGGGGCAGGGACACACUUCAGCCCAUAACAGGUGGUGUAUGCACAUGUCAGCUCAAGCACACAAGAUGGAACACAAGUGAGCAAGUGGCUUCUGUGUGAGGAAGGUAGAGAAAAUUCCUCAAGUGUAUAAGGCUCAGGAUGGGAUCCAUCACCUUGGGGCAAAAUGUCCAGCUCUAGUCCCAGUCUGCCAUGUCCUGGCCACAGAACCUCAGGUGGUACGCCUCUUCUCAAAGCCAUGCUUUCAUUGUUUCAGGAGGGAGAAUGAUCAUGGUCUCGGAGGCUGACGGUGAGGAGUUAACAGUGUAAUUUGUGUGUAGCAGUUCCACCAGCUGACAUUUGUGAGAAUGACAACUUUGAAUGACAACUUCCUUUUUAAUUUUUUUUUUCUAAUUUAUUUUUGCUUCCCUUUAGUGAGCUGUAGGGAAACUUUUGGCAUUUUCCCUGCCUCCUGGGGUUUGUUUUAAAGUCCAAGUGCUUAGUAAAUGUCAGCAGUUGGAUUUAAAGAUUCUUGGUAAAACCAGCUUGAGAGACACAAAUGUGCUCAUAGAUUUGUACAUGAUUAGACAACUGUCAAGUGCAGUAGAAAGUAGCCAUUGGGAUUAUUUUCCAAAGGUCUUAGAUGUCUCCACCACUCUGCCUCUUUCUAUGAGCUACUUAAGCUCACCCUCUGUUACCUACUGAAUGAAUGUUUGUUCCCCUCAAAUUUAUGUUGAGAUCCUAACCCCUGAUGUGAUGGUGUUAAGAGGUGAAGUUUUUUUUUUUUUUUUUUUUUGAGAUGGAGUUUUGCUCUUGUUGCCUAGGCUGGAGCACAGUGGCGUGAUCUCGGCUCACUGCAACCUCUGCCUUCUGGUUUCAAGCAAUUCUCCUGCCUCAGCUUCCCAAGUAGCGUGGCCUGGCUAAUUAGUGUAUUUUUAGUAGAGACGGGGUUUCGCCAUGUUGGCCAGGCUGGUCUUGAACUCCUGACAUCGUGAUCCACCCACUUCAGCCCCCCAAAGUGCUGGGAUUACAGGCAUGAGCCACUGUGCCCGGCCGAGGUGAAGUCUUUAGGAGGUGAAUUAGGUCAUGAAGGUGAAGCCCUCAUGAAUGGGAUUAGUGCUCUUAGAAGAGAUACAAGAGGCUAGGCACGGUGGCUCAUGCCUGUAUUCCCAGCACUUUAGGAGGCUGAGGCAGGUGGAUCACUUGAGGUCAGGAGUUCGAGACAAGCCUGGCCAACAUGGUGAAACCCCGUCUCUAGGAAAAAUACAAAAAUUAGUUGGAUGCAGUGGUGUAUGCUUGUAGUCCCAGCUACUCAUGAGGCUGAGGCAUGAGAAUCACUUGAACCCAGGAGGCAGAGGUUGCAUUGGGCUGAGAUCGCACCACUGCACUCCAGCAUGGGUGACUGAGUGAGAUUCGGUGAAAAAAAAUAAAAGAGAGAGAGAUACAAGAGCUUCCUGUCUCUGCUCUCCCCCAUGUGAGAACACUGCAAGAAAACAGCCAUCUGCAAACCAGGAAGAGGGAUCUCACCAGAACCUGACCAUGCUGGCACCCUGAUCACAGACUUCUAGCCUUCAGUAUGUGAUAAAUACAUUUGUGUUGUUUAAGCCACCCAGUCUAUCACAAUUUGUUACAGCAGCUGGAACAGACUAAGGCACACUCUCCACUGGCAUUUCUCAAGGAAAUAUGUAGAAAAGCAAGACCCAUUCCUGUCCUGAAGAGUUAGCAUGGACUGGGGGAGGCCAGAUGGUAAAGCAGUCAGCAAACAAGAUAGAAUGAGGUCUUCUCACCCCAGAAAAUGCCACUUGACGCUGUGAGCAGUCUUAUAGAGGGUAAUUUUAGAUCUUAUUACCCAGCAGGGGUGACUUAAGAGCAGCAAUAUCCCUUGAGCAUGUCUAGACUAGGGAGGAUGAAAGGCAGUCCAGGCGACAUGGGAAACGCUGGAGAGGUGGUGAAGGAGAGGGAGGACACAGAGAACUGGUGUGGAGACAUGUUUGCCUGGCACAUGGCAAGAAGGAGAGCGGCAGAGAAGACCAAGAAGGAAGCUGUGGCUUGAAUGCCAAGUUGGGACAUCUGGACACACCUCCUUAAGUAACAGAAACUAAAACCAGUAUUCAGUAGAAAUUGUCCUCAUCUAAGUUGGGUUUUUGGAAGAUAACUCAAGCACCUAGCAGAGUGGACUAAAGGGGAGCAGCACUAAGCAGGUGGCCCAGCUGUAGGUAUGCCAGUGGUUCAGAAAAGAGGAAGGGAGGAGCUGGUCUGGGUAGAAGCAGUGGGGACAGAGACACUGGGGAGGCGGAGCUGGUGGCCAGGGCAGGGUGUGGGUGGAGAGAAGAGUUUCCUGUUGCUGCUGUUACGAAUCACUACAAAGAUGGUGACUUAAAAAUAACACAGGCCAGGCACAAUGGCUCAUGCCUGUAAUCUCAGCACUUUGGGAGGCCAAGGUGGGCAGAUCAUUUGGGAGGCCAAGGUGGGCAAAUCAUUUGAGGUCAGGAGUUCAAGGACAGCCUGGCCAACAUGGUGAAACCUGGUAUCUAUUAAAGUUAGCUGGGUAUCUAAAAAAUUAGCUGGGCACGGUGGCACAUGCCUGUAAUCUGCUCAGGAGGCUGCUCAGGAGGCUGAGGCAGGAGAAUUGCUUGAACCCAGGAAGCAGAGGUUGCAGUGAGCCAAGAUCGCACCACUGCACUCCAGCUUGGGUGUCAGAGCGAGACUCUGUCUCAAAAACAAAAACGAAAAAAACAAACAACAACAACAAAAAACCAACCCCACCAACUCCUUGCAGUGCUGUAGGUCAGAGUUUUAGCCAGGUCUGACUGGACUAAAGUCAAAGUGUCACAGGCUGCACCCCUUUCUGAAGGCUCUCGGGAAAAAUCCAUUUCCUCAUGAUUUUUUUUCAGCUUCUAGAGGCUGCCCACACUCCAUUCCCUGUGGCCCCUUCCUCCGUCUUCAAAGCCAGCAUCUCUCUGACUUUUUUUGUGUGUGUGAUCACGUCUCCCUCUGACCACAGUUGGGAAAGUUUCUCUGAUUUAAACAAUUCAUGUGAUUAGAUUGGGCCCAUCUGGACACUUUAGGAUAAUCUCCCCAUCUCAAGGUCCUUCAUUGAACCACAUAUGCCAAAUCCCCUUUGCCACAUAGGGUUACGUGAUCACAGGUUUGAGGAAUUAGCAUGUGGCUAUCUUUGGGGGCCUUAUUUUGCCUACCAUAUUCAUUUAGCCACAAGCUCUAAAUCCAGGCAGGAACACCUCUCCCGGGGAGCCCACUGCCUUCAUGCUGGUCCACUGUCCUCUCUAAGUAUUUGACUCUGAAUUACAUGAACAGUCCUCUUUCUUGCAGCAUUCAACCCAAGUUGUCAGCUCCAAACCUAUCUCUUCAACUCCUCUGCCUUCUCCUAAAUAAUGUGAUUUUUUUCCCUCAGUCCCCUGGGCUCCUGCUGUCACCCUGACCUCUCUGUCUCUGCCCAUAUUUCCUUCUUCCCAGAUCAGCACUGCUCACAAGGCCUCCUCUCUUGGUGAUGAACCCUCAGAUGUCUGGAAUAUAGAAAAAACUUCCUUCAGCAAGCUCUUGGUUCAGCCAACGUCUCUGCACCCCCUGAUGCCAAGGGGAGAGCCUUCUGCAGAUACUUCCAGGCCAGCAUCUCCUGCCUUUGCCUGUGUGGAGUCAUCACUGUCUCUGCACUCAGGGACCUGCACAUACAGAAGGAAGGCUCUCUCUCUAUCCCCACAUGGUUGCUGCUGAGAGCAGCAGAAGGCAGCCAAAUGCCUAGGCAGACAGGGGCAGGUCACUGGUGAAACCCCAUCUUCAAGCCGAAGACAGUUUAAAGCCUAAAGCUACAAGUCAAAUCCUCGGACCAGUUUGCAAACUUGUCUUCCCAUUUGUUGCACUUUCCUCUGAUUGAUCCCCACCCUUCACCUAUUUUACAUAGACCUACCCUUUCCUAAUUGGUUUUCUACACUGCCAUGCCCACCUUUGAGUGGUGUCUUCACUUUGACCUUUUUUGCCUACUCACAAACCAAUCAGCAUGCACUUCCCAUUCUGAGUCCAUAAAAGACCCCAGACCCAAUCACAUGGGGGGCCUUUCCCACCUUCGGAUAGGGGAACCACCCCUGGGUCCACUCUUUGCUGACAGCUUUCCUUUUGCUUAAUGAAUUCACUCCACUCACUCUCCAGUAGCUGCACACCUAAUUCUUCCUGGUUGUGAGACAAAAACUCAGGCCUAGCUGAGCUGAGGAGCAGAAAGACUGCAACAUUUUGGUGGCUCAUAUGGGGAUACCUGGAGGGUCAAAGAGAUGUUGGCUUUGUUUCCCUUCAUGGAGGUCUAGCCAUCACGUGGAACCAGAAUAAGGUCCUGGGGCAACUGAAGGCAUCUGGCCGAGGACUUAAUUGCCAGGAGGCCCCUAGACUUGGCUCCACCCCUGACCACCCCAUUAUGGCAUCAGCCAAGACCCGCAGACUUUUCUAUGGUAUUUUUCUUUUCUUCUUUCAUGGUUUGAAGUGGCUCCUAUCUCUUCUUUUACAGCAUUAAGUGUGUUGUUGCAAACUGCAGAAAUAUUACCAGGUAGAAUGAGCAUUUGGCCUAGCCAUCAGAUAUGCAAUUCAGAACAAUGUGAUUUUCAUCUGUUCUUAGAGGCACGUCCCCUACCCCCAUCCCAACAGCCACAAGCACACAUGGUGGACAAAUGGGUGCACCGCAGCUACCCGCUCCCCCCUCCCCUCCUGGCUGGGGCAUGUGGCUGUGUCCAACGCAUGCCUGUGCUGCAUCCAACAGCCACGCAGGGCAGGAGUGAGCCGUGUCUGCUGCCUGGGACCCAGGGAAAUCUUAGGUGCCAGGGGCCCUGCACAGCCAGCUGGUCAGCAUUUUCUGCCCACCGCCCCCUCCCACCACACACCCAUUGAAUCUUUCCUCUCAUGGCUCAGUCUGAACGAGAAGGAGGGUCCAGUGACUAAGAAUCUCUCCCCUUUGGAGGAACCCAUUUGCAUAGAGCAAGAAGUUUUUUCCCCCCAGGCACCUUCCCUGCCCUGCACUUAAGCUGUUUUUUUUUUUUUCUUUUCUCCAACAUGUCGGUAGUUAACACAGCCCUGCGAAUACAGGAAGCUUUUCUAUGUGAGGUUUUUUUUUUUUUUUUUUUUUUUUCCUUUUGAAAGGCAUUUUACUAGGCCAGGACCCAAAAUCACAGAACUCCCUUUUCUCUCCCUUGUUUGAGGAUGACCCAGCUCUACAGCUUUACUUUAGCAUUUGACUUACAUAAGGAAGCAGCAGAGGAGCGACCCUGUUGGCUGUUGGCUGCUGGCUGCAGUCUGGUGAGGACCACCUGGGACUUGAUGAGUCCAUAAACCCUCCUGAGGCAGCUUUUUGUCUCAAACUCAAUUCCAAGCUUCAGACUGAAGCCCUAGUAAGGAAAACGGGAUCUGAGGGAUCCAGAGGCAGAUGACAAUGGAAGUCAAGGGGCACAGCACAGAUGAUUGUUGUCAUGCUUUGAUCCUUUGCAAAAGCUAUAGGACUUUGACAGGUGCUGUCAAAUGCAGGUUUCUGAUAGCUUUGGAGAUUGUGACAUUGGAAUAGAGGGGAACAUACAGGACUCAUGAAGAACUGAAAUGCUUAUGAAUA
Molecule: long non-coding RNA, 5968 nt
Filed under: Homo sapiens (human)
Lineage: Eukaryota; Metazoa; Chordata; Mammalia; Primates; Hominidae
Description: HSALNT0169136
Source: RNAcentral